Long non-coding RNA from Odontomachus brunneus, 711 nucleotides. RefSeq lists it as uncharacterized. The record is from RefSeq and is a predicted model, not a curated record. Lineage: Eukaryota; Metazoa; Arthropoda; Insecta; Hymenoptera; Formicidae. The transcript is spliced from 4 exons.
AAGAGUGCUGACAUCUCUAUUGGAAAUAUAACACUUAAAUACUAAUGUUAUCGACGGUGCAUUGAUUUUACCGACAGAUGCAAGGGUUAUGGAGUUAACGAAUUCGAGUUUGAGUUGAACAGACACGAAGAGAAGAUCAGUAAUCGUUGUAACGAUGAGAAAUGCUAAUUUCCGCGUAUGUAUUUUAUUCCGGGAAUAUUCUGAAUGCUCAGACAUAAGUAUGUUAUGUCGCCGGCACGAAAUUGGAACGGGGACAGUCGCAUAAUGUUGCUGCUUGCAUCCUUACAAACGAGCGCAAAGGUCACCCUGCUCCCUGAAGAAGUCAACUGAAAUGUUCACGAAACGUUGGAGCCAAGUAUGAAAGACACGGAAGACGCGGUCCAAGCCCGGAAAACGAACGAAAUCAAAGCGACGACUUGUCUAUUUCAUCCGAUAGAAAAAGACCGUUAGAUAAGGGCAUAUUCUUCAGGGUCCUCGUCAAAAGUGUACUCACACUAUUUAAACCCACAUAACGCGAGUCAAUUCGAGACGAUGUCGUUUACCCCGUGGGACUCUCAACGUGGAGCUACGAUCGGGCAGAUUGGUGGCUGGCCGAGGAUGAGGAGAAAAGGAUGGAUAAAGGCGAGCGAAAGAGCGAGCGAACGAGUGAGCUGCGUGCGUACGUAGGAGUGAAGGAAAGAAGAGGAGAGAAGGCGGAAAGCAGAAGGAGAC